RNAcentral lists this ribosomal RNA (253 nucleotides) under uncultured bacterium. RNAcentral's name for it is "partial 16S ribosomal RNA". It matches the Rfam family "Bacterial small subunit ribosomal RNA", at positions 524 to 776 of the family's 1533-position model. The record is from RNAcentral.
UACGUAGGGACCAAGCGUUGUUCGGAUUUACUGGGCGUAAAGGGCGCGUAGGCGGCGCGGUAAGUCACUUGUGAAAUCUCUGAGCUUAACUCAGAACGGCCAAGUGAUACUGCAGUGCUAGAGGUAGGUAGGGGCAAGCGGAAUUCCUGGUGUAGCGGUGAAAUGCGCAGAUAUCAGGAGGAACACCGGUGGCGAAGGCGGCUUGCUGGGCCUUACCUGACGCUGAGGAGCGAAAGCGUGGGGAGCGAACAGG